CCCUUAGAUGUUCUGGGCCGCACGCGCGCUACACUGAUGCAUUCAACGAGUCUAAAACCUGGUCUGAGAGGGCUGGGUGAUCUUUUGAAAGUGCAUCGUGAUUGGGAUAGAUGAUUGCAAUUCUUCAUCUUCAACGAGGAAUGCCUAGUAAACGCAAGUCAUCAGCUUGCAUUGAUUACGUCCCUGCCCUUUGUACACACCGCCCGUCGCUCCUACCGAUUGAACGAUCCGAUGAAAACUGUGGAUUGAGAGUCUGAGUAGGUUCGCCUAUCUCAAUUCUCGAGAAGCGGUUUGAAUCUUAUCGUUUAGAGGAAGGAGAAGUCGUAACA
Molecule: ribosomal RNA, 329 nt
Filed under: uncultured eukaryote
Lineage: Eukaryota
Description: partial 18S ribosomal RNA
Rfam family: Eukaryotic small subunit ribosomal RNA
Source: RNAcentral